UCUGGAUGACAAAUCCAUCUACAUUGGCAACGACGGGCUCUGUGGAUCUCCACUAAGAAGUUGUGAAGAAGAGCAACCUCAACGUCCAGAGCAUGUUGAAAAAAAAGCUGUGAAGAAGUCUGAAAUGCUCUGGUUUGACUGUGGCUUGGGAGUAGGUUUCAUGGCAGGAUUUGUGGGAGUUUGUAGCACUUUAUACUUCAAAGAUUCUUGGAGGCAUGCAUACUUCAGAUUAAUCGAAAACAUCUACAACAAGCUCUGGGUAAUAGUUGUGAUAAGCAAAAAUCAGCUGCAGAGAAAGCUCCGUGGAGAUGAACAUGGAGGGCAAAUGUGAUGAGAAGGACUUCAAAGCUAUCAAUAAAGCUCUGCCCAGAGUCGGACGAGCUGCAGGUUGACUGUUAACCGUGCUAUUGUGAAUUGUUGCUGUUACUUUCUUCCCUUAAAACUCAG
This 447-nucleotide unclassified non-coding RNA is filed under the name Hevea brasiliensis (rubber tree). Lineage: Eukaryota; Viridiplantae; Streptophyta; Magnoliopsida; Malpighiales; Euphorbiaceae. The record is from RNAcentral.